This 621-nucleotide ribosomal RNA is filed under the name uncultured bacterium. Its description in RNAcentral is "bacterial SSU rRNA". It matches the Rfam family "Bacterial small subunit ribosomal RNA", at positions 338 to 951 of the family's 1533-position model. The record is from RNAcentral.
CCUACGGGAGGCAGCAGUGGGGAAUUUUGGACAAUGGGCGAAAGCCUGAUCCAGCAAUGCCGCGUGUGGGAAGAAGGCCUUCGGGUUGUAAACCACUUUUGUACGGAACGAAACGGCUCGCUUUAAUACAGUGGGCUAAUGACGGUACCGUAAGAAUAAGCACCGGCUAACUACGUGCCAGCAGCCGCGGUAAUACGUAGGGUGCGAGCGUUAAUCGGAAUUACUGGGCGUAAAGCGUGCGCAGGCGGUUAUAUAAGACAGUUGUGAAAUCCCCGGGCUCAACCUGGGAAUUGCAUCUGUGACUGUAUAGCUAGAGUACGGUAGAGGGGGAUGGAAUUCCGCGUGUAGCAGUGAAAUGCGUAGAUAUGCGGAGGGACACCGGAUGGCGAAGGCAAUCCCCUGGACCUGUACUGACGCUCAUGCACGAAAGCGUGGGGAGCAAGCAGGAUUAGAUACCCUGGUAGUCCACGCCCUAAACGAUGUCAACUGGUUGUUGGGUGCAUUAGUACUCAGUAACGAAGCUAACGCGUGAAGUUGACAGCGUGGGGAGUACGGCCGCGAGGUUGAACGUCGAAAGGAGUUGACGGNGNGAGAGNGCGACGACGACGACGAGGGAGGAGG